UUACGGCCAUAUCACGUUGAAAUACCGGUUCCUGUAAGAUCACUGACGUUAAGCAACGUCGAGCCUGACCAGUACCUAUAAGCGUGAACGCUUGGGAAUACCAGGUGCUGUAAG
Acanthosepion pharaonis is the source of this 114-nucleotide non-coding RNA. The record is from the annotation of a GenBank genome assembly. NCBI's taxonomy places the organism in Eukaryota, Metazoa, Mollusca, Cephalopoda, Sepiida, Sepiidae.